CYUACGGGAGGCASCAGUGGGGAAUAUUGCACAAUGGGCGCAAKCCUGAUGCAGCCAUGCCGCGUGUAUGAAGAAGGCCUUCGGGUUGUAAAGUWCUUUCAKCGGGGAGGAAGGYGAURAGGUUAAUAACCUYRUCRAUUGACGUUACCCGCAGAAGAAGCACCGGCUAACUCCGUGCCAGCAGCCGCGGUAAUACGGAGGGUGCAAGCGUUAAUCGGAAUUWCUGGGCGUAAAGCGCACGCAGGCGGUYUGUCAAGUCGGAUGUGAAAUCCCCGGGCUCAACCUGGGAACUGCAUUYGAAACUGGCAGGCUAGAGUSYWGUAGAGGGGGGUAGAAUUCCAGGUGUAGCGGUGAAAUGCGUAGAGAUCUG
Molecule: ribosomal RNA, 370 nt
Filed under: Enterobacter hormaechei
Lineage: Bacteria; Pseudomonadati; Pseudomonadota; Gammaproteobacteria; Enterobacterales; Enterobacteriaceae
Description: partial 16S ribosomal RNA
Source: RNAcentral